Molecule: transfer RNA, 65 nt
Filed under: Dipodomys ordii (Ord's kangaroo rat)
Lineage: Eukaryota; Metazoa; Chordata; Mammalia; Rodentia; Heteromyidae
Rfam family: tRNA
About the family: Transfer RNA (tRNA) molecules are approximately 80 nucleotides in length. Their secondary structure includes four short double-helical elements and three loops (D, anti-codon, and T loops). Further hydrogen bonds mediate the characteristic L-shaped molecular structure. tRNAs have two regions of fundamental functional importance: the anti-codon, which is responsible for specific mRNA codon recognition, and the 3' end, to which the tRNAs corresponding amino acid is attached (by aminoacyl-tRNA synthetases). tRNAs cope with the degeneracy of the genetic code in two manners: having more than one tRNA (with a specific anti-codon) for a particular amino acid; and 'wobble' base-pairing, i.e. permitting non-standard base-pairing at the 3rd anti-codon position.
Source: Rfam by way of RNAcentral
GGUGGCUCAGUGGUAGAGUGCUUGCCUUGCAUGCAUGAGGCCCUAGGUUCGAAUCCUCAGCACCA